UACGUAGGGUGCGAGCGUUAAUCGGAAUUACUGGGCGUAAAGCGCGCGUAGGUGGUUCGUUGUGUCUGUGGUGAAAGCCCCGGGCUUAACCUGGGAAUGGCCAUGGAAACUGGCGAGCUGGAGUGUGGCAGAGGGGGGUGGAAUUCCGCGUGUAGCAGUGAAAUGCGUAGAGAUGCGGAGGAACACCGAUGGCGAAGGCAGCCCCCUGGGCUAACACUGACGCUGAGGCACGAAAGCGUGGGGAGCAAACAGG
Molecule: ribosomal RNA, 253 nt
Filed under: uncultured bacterium
Lineage: Bacteria
Description: partial 16S ribosomal RNA
Rfam family: Bacterial small subunit ribosomal RNA
Source: RNAcentral